Molecule: ribosomal RNA, 254 nt
Filed under: uncultured bacterium
Lineage: Bacteria
Description: partial small subunit ribosomal RNA
Rfam family: Bacterial small subunit ribosomal RNA
Source: RNAcentral
AGGACGAACGCUGGCGGCGUGCUUAACACAUGCAAGUCGAGCGGAAAGGCCCUUCGGGGUACUCGAGCGGCGAACGGGUGAGUAACACGUGAGUAAUCUGCCCCUAGCUCUGGGAUAGCUCCGGGAAACCGGGAUUAAUACCAGAUACGACCACUCUAGACAUCUUCUGUGGUGGAAAGAAUUUCGGCUGGGGAUGAACUCGCGGCCUAUCAGCUUGUUGGUGAGGUAACGGCUCACCAAGGCUACGACGGGUA